CCGUGAACCUUUACUAUAGCUUGACACUGAACAUUGAGCCUUGAUGUGUAGGAUAGGUGGGAGGCUUUGAAGCGUGGACGCCAGUCUGCAUGGAGCCGACCUUGAAAUACCACCCUUUAAUGUUUGAUGUUCUAACGUGGACCCGUAAUCCGGGUUGCGGACAGUGUCUGGUGGGUAGUUUGACUGGGGCGGUCUCCUCCUAAAGAGUAACGGAGGAGCACGAAGGUUGGCUAAUCCUGGUCGGACAUCAGGAGGUUAGUGCAAUGGCAUAAGCCAGCUUGACUGCGAGCGUGACGGCGCGAGCAGGUGCGAAAGCAGGUCAUAGUGAUCCGGUGGUUCUGAAUGGAAGGGCCAUCGCUCAACGGAUAAAAGGUACUCCGGGGAUAACAGGCUGAUACCGCCCAAGAGUUCAUAUCGACGGCGGUGUUUGGCACCUCGAUGUCGGCUCAUCACAUCCUGGGGCUGAAGUAGGUCCCAAGGGUAUGGCUGUUCGCCAUUUAAAGUGGUACGCGAGCUGGGUUUAGAACGUCGUGAGACAGUUCGGUCCCUAUCUGCCGUGGGCGCUGGAGAACUGAGGGGGGCUGCUCCUAGUACGAGAGGACCGGAGUGGACGCAUCACUGGUGUUCGGGUUGUCAUGCCAAUGGCACUGCCCGGUAGCUAAAUGCGGAAGAGAUAAGUGCUGAAAGCAUCUAAGCACGAAACUUGCCCCGAG
RNAcentral lists this ribosomal RNA (713 nucleotides) under Salmonella enterica subsp. enterica. Its description in RNAcentral is "partial 23S ribosomal RNA". It matches the Rfam family "Bacterial large subunit ribosomal RNA", at positions 2091 to 2803 of the family's 2925-position model. Lineage: Bacteria; Pseudomonadati; Pseudomonadota; Gammaproteobacteria; Enterobacterales; Enterobacteriaceae. The record is from RNAcentral.